This is an RNA transcript of Eutrema salsugineum, 680 nucleotides long. RefSeq lists it as uncharacterized. NCBI's taxonomy places the organism in Eukaryota, Viridiplantae, Streptophyta, Magnoliopsida, Brassicales, Brassicaceae. The transcript is spliced from 4 exons. The record is from RefSeq and is a predicted model, not a curated record.
UAAGGAAAAAAAAAAAAAAAGAAAGACUCACCUGACGAAUCUCACCGGAGAGAAGUCUAGAUCUCUCUUCUUCUCUUCUACCACGAAGUUUGAUUCAUCACCGGCGAGAGGCGAAAUCCAGUUCUCCGACGUUAUAAUGCCGUUCAAGACGGUGAUAGAAGUGGAGCCUCCGAGUCUGUUGCGGUACUUGAUCGGAGCGGCGGUGAUGAUGAUCGGCGUCGUAUUACCCGUUGGUUACAUGAUGUUCCGCAACAAACGUGUCCCCUUCUCGUCUUCGUACUCUAAACAGACGUAGGUGGGGAAUCCAUGGUUGAUAGAUGAUCAAAAAAAUUAGUUGCUCCUCUUCGUUAAAGCUUGUUUAGGCUAAUGAAGGAACAAAGUUUUGAUAUAGGAAGCUAGAGGCUGCGGUUGAAUUCAACUAAGAAAAUGAGAAGGAUGAUGAUGACGUAUUGAUAUGGACGACUGUAAAAUUAUUGGGGAUUCUUGUUUUUACAUUGGCUGUAAGAGAUGAGCCUUCGAUAUCAGAUUCAUAAACCAUAUACUGUAUGUGAGUACUUUUUCUUUAAUGUUAUUGGUUGUUUCCUGCUUAGGUUAUUCCAGGUCUAUAAUGUAACACAAACUCUUCUAUUUGGUGGAAAGAUUAUCACUCACUCACUGGAAUUUAUAUGAUAUCGAGCUUA